CCUCAAGCUGCUGUUGCUCGUCUGUGGCGAUCCAGAAAUAGCAGCAGCUUGUCUGGA
Molecule: microRNA precursor, 57 nt
Organism: Amphilophus citrinellus (Midas cichlid)
Lineage: Eukaryota; Metazoa; Chordata; Actinopteri; Cichliformes; Cichlidae
Source: Ensembl